ACCUCAUGUUAUUGAUGAGGCUAUGAUUAUGCUGUUGCUGGAAAACAGCUCUUAGGUCCUUCCACCAAGGGGAGCAUUCUGCACUGUUUCUUCCAAAACAUAAAGCAUUCCACCCACCAUACUUGGACAUCAAAACUCUAGCCCAAAGCUGAUUCUGGUUAUUAGCCAGAUCCCAUCCCCAUUUACCAAUCAAGGCCUCAUUAAACUUAGACAAAUCUUUGAUCCCCAACCCUCCUUUAGUCUUGGGAAGACAAACAAUAUCCCAGAUCACC
RNAcentral lists this unclassified non-coding RNA (272 nucleotides) under uncultured bacterium. RNAcentral describes it as "contains 16S-23S intergenic spacer region". The record is from RNAcentral.